RNAcentral lists this long non-coding RNA (1305 nucleotides) under Marmota monax (woodchuck). Lineage: Eukaryota; Metazoa; Chordata; Mammalia; Rodentia; Sciuridae. The record is from RNAcentral.
GGAUGAACCACUGGGGGCUCCAGGGAGGAAACACGCAUUCAUUCCUCUGGACAUGGCGAAGCACUUCUCUGAGAGUGGGACUUUCCAAAGUCCACCUCCCCGUCCUGAGACCAGGGAGACACCCUCCAUGAGCACCUCCUCCCUGGGGACCACAAAGGAGAGGAGCUGCAAGUGUGUAGCUGUCAUUUUUCACUCCGUUCCCAAGACUCCUUCCAAGGGCAGAUUUGUAAAUGACUCGAAGGUGGUGGAAACUGACCCUAUGCCACAGUCUUUCAUUUCCUGACAAACCUUCAUAAAAACAAAUGCGAUCGGCAGGGUGCUCCCGGAGACCACGCCCACUGGGAUGGCCAUGUCAGCAGCAGAGUGACCUAGGGAAUGUGGAGAAAGUAGCAGAGUCCAAGGCACCGGCUAUGUCUUCAGCUCAGUAACAGUCCAUAGUGGGCCUCCGUAAAUGACCACUGACUUGGGGUUUCCUCCCUGUGUUGCCCACAAGGCUAUGAACUUCCUAAGAAAUUUCCUGCCCUUGCCCUCUAGAGAGCUUACUUUACAGUCAAAAGUGACCCUGGACAAGGACGUCACUCAGGUCACCACUGACUGAAGGGUGUGAAAUUGGUUAUCUGGGCAGUCCCAGGACCACAAAGCAAAAUGAAUGUCCCACACAAGCUACUUUGUUAAAAUGGCCACUACGGCCACCUGGAAACGGUUAGCCCUGAGCACUCCGAAGGCAAACUGACCAUUUCUGUGAGUUUUAAAUUACAUUGAAGGAUAAACAGGAAAGCUGGCAUUCAUAUUUCCGACUAUAUAAAAACAGAAUCCUCAUUAUGUCGUUAGAUCUGGAUGUUUGGCCUGAAUCUUAGCAACUUCUUGCACAAUCUAUGCUCAGAUCUGACCUGGUGGCACCCUCUUGCACCUCCUCCCUCCACAACUCUUCACCGCCCCCCCCACACACACACACACUCCACACUCUAAAAAGCCUCUACUGACGACAGCCUCUUUAAUAAUGCAGUGUUGAGCAGAGGGCUAGAAAAUUGUUAUCUUGUUAUUUUUUGCCAGAACCCAAGUGACAGGAGAAAAUAUUUUUCAGCCCUCACAUCCUUGAGAUGCUAAAGCUUGAUUUGCAAUUAGCUUGGUACUGAAUAUAAGCAUGAGAUGGAACAGCACUGCAGCAAGACCCAGGCUGCCACUGGGCAAAACCGUAAAUAGUGCACUUAUUUAAGAUGAUUUGAAUGCAAGACAAAAGGCACCUUGGAAAUAACUGUCCAGCUAAUGAAAAUGCAUUCCUGAGUGGCUAGACCUGAAUUUAAU